AGAGUUUGAUCCUGGCUCAGGACGAACGCUGGCGGCGUGCCUAAUACAUGCAAGUAGAGCGCUGAAGAGAGGAGCUUGCUCUUCUUGGAUGAGUUGCGAACGGGUGAGUAACGCGUAGGUAACCUACCUUGUAGCGGGGGAUAACUAUUGGAAACGAUAGCUAAUACCGCAUAACAAUGAAUGACCAAUGUUAUUUAUUUGAAAGGGGCAAUUGCUCCACUACAAGAUGGACCUGCGUUGUAUUAGCUAGUAGGUGAGGUAACGGCUCACCUAGGCGACGAUACAUAGCCGACCUGAGAGGGUGAUCGGCCACACUGGGACUGAGACACGGCCCAGACUCCUACGGGAGGCAGCAGUAGGGAAUCUUCGGCAAUGGGGGCAACCCUGACCGAGCAACGCCGCGUGAGUGAAGAAGGUUUUCGGAUCGUAAAGCUCUGUUGUAAGUCAAGAACGAGUGUGAGAGUGGAAAGUUCACACUGUGACGGUAGCUUACCAGAAAGGGACGGCUAACUACGUGCCAGCAGCCGCGGUAAUACGUAGGUCCCGAGCGUUGUCCGGAUUUAUUGGGCGUAAAGCGAGCGCAGGCGGUUUGAAAAGUCUGAAGUUAAAGGCUGUGGCUCAACCAUAGUUCGCUUUGGAAACUGUCAAACUUGAGUGCAGAAGGGGAGAGUGGAAUUCCAUGUGUAGCGGUGAAAUGCGUAGAUAUAUGGAGGAACACCGGUGGCGAAAGCGGCUCUCUGGUCUGUAACUGACGCUGAGGCUCGAAAGCGUGGGGAGCGAACAGGAUUAGAUACCCUGGUAGUCCACGCCGUAAACGAUGAGUGCUAGGUGUUGGAUCCUU
This 841-nucleotide ribosomal RNA is filed under the name uncultured bacterium. RNAcentral's name for it is "bacterial SSU rRNA". It matches the Rfam family "Bacterial small subunit ribosomal RNA", at positions 8 to 832 of the family's 1533-position model. The record is from RNAcentral.